UGCAGGACAUCCAUGAUAUUAGCCAGUCUCAUUGGCUACAGAGGACGCUUUAUCAACCAGGGGUGGCACGGUACAUGAAAAAACACCCGAACUGUUCGGUUUGUGUGUGCGUCGCACGGUUCGACGCAUGCGCAAUGUAGCCCCGUGCUCAGACAGUUCCCCCCUCAGACAGUUUCGCGCAAACAUACAUAUGGACAGUAAAAGUGGAGUAAGAAGUGCUGCAGAAAUGGCAAGUGGAAGAGAUAAUGAAGGCUGCCUGGAGUUGGCGGAUGCGCCCGCGUCUUUCAAAUCCGGUGUGUGGGGAACAUUUUGGAUUUCAUGUUACUUACGUUGACAACAGAAAUAAAAUAGCAGAUAGAACUGCAACUGUGUGCAAGCAUUGUGCAAAAUGCAUUCAAUAUGCUAAUGGCAACACUUCUAAGAUGACAGUUCAUUUGAGAAGACAUCACGCCAAUGUGUCGAUAAGCACAAACAGAAGAGAGCCGGUUAGGAAACAACUUUAAGCAGCUUUAAUGGUUUAACAACCUCUCAGUGAUAAGUCGGACAGGGCAAUAGCCAUAACUAAAGCAUUGGGGAUGUUUAUAGCAAAAGAUAUGCAACCGUGCAGCGUUAUUGAGUGUGAAGGAUUUCGUCAGCUUAUGAACGUACUUGAGCCGCGGUAUAAUAUUCCCUCUCGUCGACACUUCCGCACCACUGUAAUUCCAAAGCUGUAUGACGAGACACGAGGAGAAAUUGAAAACAAAUUGUCCGACACAGCCCACGUAGCUCUCACUACAGAUGGAUGGACCUCCAGGGCCACUGAAAGUUUUGUCGCAGUGACCGCUCACUAUAUUACUUCGGAGUGGGAAAUGAGAAGCUCUGCUUUGCAAACACGCCCCAUUUAUGAAAGUCAUACCAGUGAGCAUCUCUCUGAAAUGCUGACAGACGCGGUGGCUGAAUCGAUACUGGAGAGGGUAAAUAGCAUAACUCCUGUUACCUAAGAUAAAGUGAAUGCUAUCGAUUUAGCAGCAGGACUUGUGCCACAGAUCGGUGCUUAACACACACAGUUAACCUUGCAGCCAAGAGUGCAAUCUCACUAAACCAAAUAUCCCGACUCUUGGGGAAGGUUAGGAAGGCGGUUAGCAUUGUUAACUGAAAGUGAGACAAAACUCGCAGAGGGUCUCAUUAAUAUUCUCAAACCUCUGAAGAAUGUAAUCACCCUCAUGAGCACAGAAACAUCCCCCUCAGUUUCAAUGAUUAUCCCAUUGCGGAAGAUGAUAGUGAAAUCCAUAAAAACCCGGGGGCAGAGGAAAGUACCACCAUCAAAGAAGCCAAGGCAGCCAUCACUAAAGACCUUAAAGGUAGAUACAAUGAUCCUGGUGUUCAGAAUUAUCUGCACAGAGCCACAGUACUUGAUACAAGAUUCAAGUCCCUGCCUUACCUGGAAGAAGCCUGUGUUCAGAAAAUCUACGAUGAUCUAACCACGGACAUUGAAAAGCAGGGUCAAAGCAGUAAAGCCCAAGCGGCCAGUUCAUCCUCGCGGAGCCAGGGCCAUCAGAGACAUCUCCCUCCUCAGAAAAAUUCUGCCAUGGCAAUGGUAUUUGCAGAUUUUUAUAAAACAGAGGAAAGAAGAUCAAAGCCUUUGUCGUACAUCAUUCAUGAAGAGGUCACCUCAUACAAGGCCACAGGCUUCAUCUCUGUGGAUGAAGACCCACUCGCAUGGUGGAAGAGCAAUGAGCAUAAGUAUCCUCACACUGCUAAGUUAGCCCAACGUAACCUCGCUCUCAAAGGUACAUCUGUGCCAAGUGAACAUGUUUUCUCAACGGCUGGGGACAUAGUCACUGCGAGUAGGUCUCGCCUCUUGGCAGAAAAUGUGGACAAACUGAUAUUCUUGCAUAAGAAUAUGAAAAUUAAGUGAACAGAGGAGUGUUUUUUAAAUGCAACAUUUUAAAGCAAUUUUAAAAGCCAGCAUUUUUGUUUUUAAUAUUGAAAUAUAUACAGUGGCAUUUUAAUGUCUAGUUUCCAAAUACUGCACUUUAAUUUAUGGCCUUUGCUAUUGUUAUACCCUCAUUAUAUUAUGUUAUGACAUUAUAUUAUUGUGAGAAUUUGGGUUUGCCUGUGUCCCAAAUAUUAUGUGAAAUGCAUUGUAAUGAUUAUUGUACAUGAACUAUGUCUAACCUUACUUGAGUUUAAGUGCUUACCAAGCUAGCCGAAUGUUCAGAACAUCGUGCUGCCUUUUGCUAAAAAUACAAAUGUACUUCUAAGAAUUUCUAAGAACAAGGAACUAACUCACGUGAAUGAUAUGAAUAUAGGUCUGGUAUGUGUCCAUUACAAUGACAUAUUUACCUUCUUUUUAUGAAUAUAAGAAUUGGUC
Long non-coding RNA from Triplophysa dalaica, 2353 nucleotides. RefSeq lists it as uncharacterized. Lineage: Eukaryota; Metazoa; Chordata; Actinopteri; Cypriniformes; Nemacheilidae. The transcript is spliced from 3 exons. The record is from RefSeq and is a predicted model, not a curated record.